Pelobates cultripes (western spadefoot toad) is the source of this 214-nucleotide non-coding RNA. The record is from the annotation of a GenBank genome assembly. Lineage: Eukaryota; Metazoa; Chordata; Amphibia; Anura; Pelobatidae.
UGGGAUGUUAUCCCUCCGAUAGCCGGUAUAUGGGAUGUUAUCCCUCCGAUAGCCGGUAUAUGGGAUGUUACCCCACCAAUAGCCGGUAUAUGGGAUGUUACCCCACCAAUAGCCGGUAUAUGGGAUGUUACCCCACCAAUAGCCGGUAUAUGGGAUGUUACCCCUCCAAUAGCCGGUAUAUGGGAUGUUACCCCUCCAAUAGCCGGUAUAUGGG